Molecule: ribosomal RNA, 497 nt
Filed under: uncultured bacterium
Lineage: Bacteria
Description: partial 16S ribosomal RNA
Rfam family: Bacterial small subunit ribosomal RNA
Source: RNAcentral
GAUGAACGCUGGCGGCGUGCCUAAUACAUGCAAGUCGAGCGAACGGACGAGAAGCUUGCCUCUCUGAUGUUAGCGGCGGACGGGUGAGUAACACGUGGAUAACCUACCUAUAAGACUGGGAUAACUUCGGGAAACCGGAGCUAAUACCGGAUGAUAUUUUGAACCGCAUGGUUCAAAAGUGAAAGACGGUCUUGCUGUCACUUAUAGAUGGAUCCGCGCUGCAUUAGCUAGUUGGUAAGGUAACGGCUUACCAAGGCAACGAUGCAUAGCCGACCUGAGAGGGUGAUCGGCCACACUGGAACUGAGACACGGUCCAGACUCCUACGGGAGGCAGCAGUAGGGAAUCUUCCGCAAUGGGCGAAAGCCUGACGGAGCAACGCCGCGUGAGUGAUGAAGGUCUUCGGAUCGUAAAACUCUGUCAUUAGGGAAGAACAUAUGUGUAAGUAACUGUGCACAUCUUGACGGUACCUAAUCAGAAAGCCACGGCUAACUACGUG